This 700-nucleotide ribosomal RNA is filed under the name uncultured beta proteobacterium. RNAcentral describes it as "bacterial SSU rRNA". It matches the Rfam family "Bacterial small subunit ribosomal RNA", at positions 65 to 760 of the family's 1533-position model. Lineage: Bacteria; Pseudomonadati; Pseudomonadota; Betaproteobacteria. The record is from RNAcentral.
AACGGCAGCACGGGGGCAACCCUGGUGGCGAGUGGCGAACGGGUGAGUAAUACAUCGGAACGUGUCCUUUCGUGGGGGAUAACCAGUCGAAAGACUGGCUAAUACCGCAUGAGAUCUCACGAUGAAAGCGAGGGACCGCAAGGCCUCGCGCGAUUGGAGCGGCCGAUGUCGGAUUAGCUAGUUGGCGGGGUAAAAGCCCACCAAGGCGACGAUCCGUAGCUGGUUUGAGAGAACGACCAGCCACACUGGGACUGAGACACGGCCCAGACUCCUACGGGAGGCAGCAGUGGGGAAUUUUGGACAAUGGGCGCAAGCCUGAUCCAGCCAUGCCGCGUGUGUGAAGAAGGCCUUCGGGUUGUAAAGCACUUUCGGCCGGAACGAAAUCGCCUUUGUUAAUAGCGAGGGUGGAUGACGGUACCGGAAGAAGAAGCACCGGCUAACUACGUGCCAGCAGCCGCGGUAAUACGUAGGGUGCGAGCGUUAAUCGGAAUUACUGGGCGUAAAGGGUGCGCAGGCGGCGUCGCAAGUCAGGCGUGAAAUCCCCGGGCUUAACCUGGGAACUGCACUUGAAACUACGAUGCUGGAGUAUGGCAGAGGGAGGUGGAAUUCCACGUGUAGCGGUGAAAUGCGUAGAGAUGUGGAGGAACACCGAUGGCGAAGGCAGCCUCCUGGGCCAAUACUGACGCUCAUGCACGAAAGC